This 7441-nucleotide long non-coding RNA is filed under the name Homo sapiens (human). Its description in RNAcentral is "non-protein coding lnc-RNF13-3:4". The record is from RNAcentral. Lineage: Eukaryota; Metazoa; Chordata; Mammalia; Primates; Hominidae.
AGAGCGCGCUCGGCCGCCCGGCCGCCCGCAGCCGCGGGGCUGACAAACCAGCGGCGGGAGGCUGCGAAGCGGCUGUGCCUGUGGCGGCUGCUCCUUACCGCAGCGCCCUCCGUUUUCCGCGGACACGGCUGGGCGUGCGCGCGCGCGUGCGUGCGAUCCUUCCGCGGCGCCCGGGCACGGAGGGUCCCGGGAAGGGCGGGGGGAGACUGAGGCGGGGGCGCGGAGGGAUACCGCCCCGGGACAAUCACGGCCGCCACGUGCGGGAGGCGCCGGCCGGGAGCGGUGGCGGGCCGAGCUUCGGACCUCGGGCCGGCGGAGAGGGUGGACCCCGCGUCGCUCUCGGCACCCCAGGAACAGCGGCGGCACGGACGCCUUGGAGCCCCGCGGCCGGGCCGCGAUGUGCUUUUCUCCUGUGUUCGCUGCCCGGGAUGCGGAAUCUUGAGCCUCGGUGUCGGGUUACAGAGUUGUCCUGGUGACGGGAUGCGGAGCGUUUCCUCCUUUUUGUUGUGGGGGCGGCUGGUGGCAGGGGCAGCUGGUGGCAGGGUUGCCCACGCUAAUCUCCGAGUCUCUAAGGGCACCGUCUUUCCUGGAUCCCUCUUGCGCCUCGUCCAUAAAGGCAGACCCGCGGGCGCGCGCCGGCAACCUGAAAUCAGAGCAGGCGUCCGUGGCGCUCAGGAACCUUGCUGAGCUUCGCCGAUCUUUCAUUGUUGCUUCAUUUGGGUACCAAGGGCCUCUCAUUCUGUGGAUUCUUUGCCUGGAGGAGCCCCCUUAAUGUUGCUAAUCACGUGUGGUUAAAUUGCUCGUAAAUUCCGAACAAAACAAAUAGCGACCUGUGUUACACUGUUUCUUGGUAACUGGGAAAGUUACUGGUGGCUUGAAGUAUACGCAGAAAAUACAAAGAUUAAAAACUAGGGAAGAGUUCACUGAAUGAACACCGUAACAUUUCUGCUCUGCAGGGUAAAAUAAUUUCGGGACCCAGGUCUGGGAAAGAUUUGUAUUAACAAGGUAAACGGUGGGUAGAGUGCCUGAGAAGCUAUUCGUAUCGUCUUUGGUAGCCUCUGGGCACUAGGACUAGACAUGGAAUUAGGGGUCCCCCAACAAUGACUUCAAUUUUAGGUUAAUAGAAACCAUCUGCCACUUAAGGGAAAGAAAGCACCAAAAUGUAGAUAAGUUGAUGUUCACCCUUAAAGUUAUCGUGUGAGGUCAUGAUUUGUAGGAGGAUUAAGGAAUGUAUCUCUGGAAAGGGCAAGAACGUUGCUUUUAAAAGUCUAAUUGGUUCUGAAGUUUUAUAUUUUUUCUGCUGAUUGCUUUAAAAUGUUCAGCUACUAGAGAGAAAAAAAGUACAGUAAAAGAAACCCCCAAGUCAGAGACCUAUCAGACUGAGAAUAUGUAUUUUCUCAUGUUCUAAAGAUACAGAAUACCUGUGUGGUGUAAAAUGUGAACCAAAAAUUGUUUCAUUUUUGUAAGUGUGCCUCCCACCUGAUUUAAUUACACUUAAUUGUUCUUGUUUAUGACUCUGCCUUUUAUGGUGAUGUUGAUCAUUUUAGUCCUUCGAUCAUAGCACUGUAUCAUCUUAAAAGUUAAUAAUAGAUUACUUGUAACACAGGCUCACUAUGUGAGAAUUCAUCAAGCUGUAUGUACAUUUAUUGUGCUCUUCAUUGUAUGUAUAAUUCAAUAAAUUGAAACAGUAAACGAAAAGGUAAUUAUAGAAAAAAUACAGUGAUAACUUGAAGUAUGUUGAAUUUUUAUUAAUUUACUCUGAAGGUUUUAAGAUAUAAUUUCUAGACGUUACUAUCUUAUUGUUAUAGCACAGAGUUGGAAAUAACUACAUUCUUUUCCUAUUCUUUUAUUGUUGGCUUUAAACAGUGAAAGAAUUUGACCAACAAUAUUUUCUAAUUCAAAUCUCAAAAGAUUCUAAAACACAUUUCUUGGGUAAAAUAUUCACAAAAAUUUAGAAUUCUUGUCAUUCUUCUAUAUUUUUCAAAAUAUAAUUCAUUUUAAAUUACUGCUUACUUUUCCAACAUGAUGUUAUUUUUCUAGAAUUGCAAACAGUAAAAUUUAAACAACUAUGAAAAAAAUUCUGUAUAAUAGAUUAAAUUUUACAGUUUCAAUUUUUAGGUUAUAUAUUCAAAGAGAGUCCAUGUGCUGUCUUGGUUUUCAGUACUGUAAUAAAGUAACCUGUGCUUUUUUGUUUGUUUGUUUAUUGAGAUGAGACUCCGUCACCAGGGCUGGAGUGCAGUGGCAUGAUCUCGGCUCACUGCAACCUCCGCUUCCUGGGUUCAAGCGAUUCUCCUGCCUCAGCCUCCCAAAAGUAGCUGGGAUUACAGACACCCGCCACUACGCCCAGCUAAUUUUUUGUAUUUUUUGUAGAGACGGGGUUUCACCAUGUUGGCCAGGCUGGUCUCAAACUCCUGACCUCGUUAUUCGCCUGCCUCGGCCUCCCAAAGUGCUGGGAUUACAGGCAUGAGCCACCAUGCCCGGCCACCUGUGCUUGUUUUCUUUAGAACCAGCUUCCUUGCAUGCUGCUUUAUUUUCCAUUUGUGUACAGUGAUCCCUUCCUAUUUCAUCUAAGUGUUGCUUAUACGUUUCAGAAAGUAUAAAUAGAGGUGGAAUACUGAGCUUUAGUAAUAACAAUAUUGGUUCACUUAAGUCCAAAGGAGUAUCAGUGUGAGAAAAAGAAUUGCCAAUUUGUAUCUUCCUCUACUUUUCUGAGAGUAAGUAAUCCCUAGGAUAAUUGUAAUAUCUGGGCAGAAGUUUAGAAAAGUUGUGGCUGUGUUGUUGAUACAAAUAGCCAGAAUAAUGUAGCCAUUAACAAUCAGUAGCAUAUUUAAGUUUGGAGUGCAUUAUUAUGCAUUCUUUCCAGAAUUAUUUUAUUCUUAUUGAGUAAAGCAGAAACUGUGUAGUAAGCCACGUUCUUUAAUGUGUAAGUCAAGUGGUGUCUGAACCACUUGAGUCCAUGUAAAAAUCAUUUGAAAUUUUAGCAAAACACAAACAAGAAAUUAUCUUUAAAAUGUACACAACCUGAUAAUCAUUGGGAGCAGGAUCUAAAACUAUACACAGUAAUUACCCCCAAAUUUAGUAAAACCAUAAUUAACCAUCAGUUAUUUAAAAAUUUCACCGCAUAGUUCAUUUCUGAAAAAAGUAUAUGAAUUAUAAAAUCAAUAUCACAGCAAUAAAGUUUAGAAAAUGGAGAAAAAUCCUUAAUCCCACAAGCUAAUACAAAUAUCUUUUGAAUGUAUUCACUAUGUAUGAUUUUUACAGUAAAGAACAAGGAGAACUUAUAAUUCUGCAUUUGGCCAUUUUACCCUGAAAUUCUAUGAAUUUUUGCUUUUUAUAUUUUGAGGCUAUUAGGAAAAUGGAAAUUUAAAUUGUUAUAUUUUUCCUUUCUGAUGAAUUUAUUCUUUAUUAUUUAGUAGUUGCCCUCUUGAUCACCAAUACUGCUUUUUGUCUUAAAAUUUUUGUCAAAUAUUAAGGUAACAUCCCAGCUCUCUUUUUAUUGGUGUUUACCUUAUAUAUCUUUUCGCUCCCCACCUCUCUUUCAACCUUUCUCUGUCCUUUUUAUUUUGUGUCUCAUAAACUUCACGCAGCUGGAUUUUGUUUUUUUAUCCAAUAUGGCAGUAUAACCUUUAAUUGGCAAGUUUAUUCCAUUUACAUUCAUUGUAAUUAUUGACAUACAUUUGGACUUGUUUGAACUAAUUUUAUUAGUCUCUUUUUUUUUCUAUGCUUUUUUCUUCCUUGCCUUUAAAAAAAAUGUCGGGCAUGUGUGUUUUAUUCUUUUUUUUUUUUCAAAUUUAUGCUACCAAUUUUUCUUAGUGUUACCCUUAAAUUUUUGCCUUGCAUAUUUAAUACAAUAAAGUUUUAAGUUAAAUAUCUUAAACACUACCCCUAGACAAUCCAAAAACCUUAGAAUGUUUUAAGUCUGGACACCUCUCUCCAGACUCUUACACAGAUGUUUAUGUAUGUGUGUAUAUAUAUGUACUUACAUGUUUGUAUUUUAUUUACUUACUAUUCCUUUUCAUAUCUCAGAUCAUUCUAUGAUCAUUUUUCUUUCUAAAGUACAUCUUUUAGAAGUUCCUUUAAUAGCAGUCUGUUGGUGAGAAACUAUGUUUAUCUGAAAAUGUAUUUAUAUCACUUUCAUCCUCUGACAAUGGGUUGGAUCUACAAUGCAAAAUGGACACUUUGAAGAUGUUAUUCCAUUUCAUUUUGGUUUUUGUCACUGCUGUUGUAUCAUAUGGAUGAUUUGUCUCUUUUCCUCUGGCUACUUUGGAACCUUUUUGUGUUUGCUCUUCUACAGUUUCACUAUGAUGUGUCUACAUUUGGGUUUCUUUUAUUCUACUUAGGAAAAUAGAUUUAUAUUUAUCAUCACUUCUGUAAAAUUCUCAAUUACUAUCUCUUCAAUUAAUUCCUUUUUCUCAGUUCUCUUUACUGUCUUAGAGUUCAGAAUACAUAUGUUUCUGUUUCCUCUUCUGUUCUCCGUAUCUCUUAACUUCUUUCAUCUUUUUCAUCUUACUACUCUCUGUGCUCUAUUCUGGGUAAUUUCCUCAGAUGUGUAUUCCAUAUCACUGUUCAACUAUGUUUCAUCUGUUGAUAAACCCAUACAUUGAGACUUUUUUAAUUUCUAAAAGUCUAUUUUUCAUUUUAGAAGUUCCAUUUUAUUGUUAUGCGUAUCUUCCCAGUUAUUCCUGAUACUCUUGUAUUCCUUCCCGAUCUUUGUGGUUCCAUACUUCAUUUCUUUAAAUGUUUCUUACCUACUUAUUUUGUACUCUGUAUCUGUAUCUCAGUAGUCAGUAUUAAACGAGGCUUUUAAAAUCUUUUGUUUUUGCCCAAUGAAACCAUUCCAAUAUAUAAACAAGUUGUAUGUUGUUUUUCAUCUACCUCACCCAUAGUGGCUUGCCUCCUUGUAUGCUUGGUGAUCUUAAAGAUUGUGAAUGAUAUUUCAUUGAUCUUAAUAUGUAGGAAAUUUAAUGGCCUAAAGUGUGGAGACUUUUCUUCAAAAACAGUUUGUAUCUGCUUCUACUAUAUGUCCAGGGUGCUAAGCAACCUGGGGGCACUUUAACCCUUUCUCUGGUGCCCCCUAAAGGCAGGAGUAUCUGAUUCAGCUCCUCACAUAGUUGCCAUUUGCAUCUGCACUCAGACUAGCCCCAUUUUUCCUGGUUACAUACAGACUUCAGCUCUGCUUUCUGCUCAAGAUUUGUUUCCCUUUAUUUGGCAGGAAAAGGGUAUUUUGAAGAUUUCUCUAAUAAUUUCUGUAUGAGGAUUUCAGUUUCUCCACAUAUGCACCAACAGUUGAUAUUGUGUGUCUUUUUAAUUUUAAACAUUUUGCUAGUUGUAUUAUGGUAUUUAAUUAUGGCUUUAAUUUGCAUAUUUCCAAUGACAAAGGUGAGCAUCUUUUUCUUGUUGUUAGUCAUUUAGAUACUUUUUUGUGAAGUGCUUGUGCAAAUCUUUUGCUACAUAUUUUUCAUUGUUAAUGACUGUGCAGUAGUCCAUCAAGUGGCUGUAUCAUAAGUUAUCAUUUCUUAUUGAAAUAUCAGGUAAGUUGAGAAAAAAUAACCAAAAAAAAACUUCUUUAUGAUCUGUGUGGUGGUGAACUUUGAAUUGUGUGGAAAUGGAUGAAAUACAUUCUUUUAAAUGUCUGAUGGCAAGAUUUAAAAUAUGAAGUGUGGCACUUAAUUCAGUUAAUCAAAUGUGAUAGACAUUGCUGGUUUGCCUAUCCAGUAUGUACUCUUCUUCCUUGCUAACAGAAUCUUGAAUUUGCUUGAGAUAAUAGUAAAUAAUUUAAAAUACCUCCAUAAAUGCCCUUCCAGCUAGGGUGGUCAUCUAGUCCAUUGGCCAAUAAACUAGAUCAAAAGCUACUUCAUGGAAAGCUAUUUUUUCCUUGAUACCUAUAUCUUUCUGUAAAGGACUGCUCAGCUGGCAUAAGCUUUCUACUUUUAACCUGUCUUUUCUCUUGUCCAGAUUGUGAUUCAGUGUCAAAGUGGGGCAGUCAUUCGUAAGUGCUGAGCAUUGUGGAGCAGGAGGGGAAAGGGGCCUGUUCUCUCAAGGACCUUCACUAUCCAUUCAUUUCCUACCCCCAGACUCUUGUUAGAUUGGGUAAAUAAACUCCUUACUUGGUUAAAGUACUGUAAUCAGCCUGUGUUAAGUGCAACCAGACCCUGCUCUAACCAGAAUAUCCAUUUUGCUAUCCCACUUCAGGUCUCUAAGCAUUCUAGUUUAUCCAGUUUUGCUUUUCCAUAAUGAGUUAAGCUCUUGAGGAAAUGCUUUACAUCUAUUGCAUCCCUAUUGUAAUAAUGACUGAAUUAGCCAUAUCAUAGAAAAUUGCUCUACUGUUUGUUUUUUUUUUUUUGGCAAUAAUACAUUAAAUAGUGCCCUAGAGGCUUCAACGAUUUCGUGUACCUCCCUAAAUAUCACAUUAGCUGACAGAAAAUUCCUUAUGAGUUAUGACUCAUUUUUUCUGAUUUGAUGCAGAAAAGAGAAUUCUGGAAGCACAUGUAGAGCAUUUCAUUCCAAGUUAUAUGUGAACUUGAGAGAUGUUUUUUGUAGAAUUCCAAGGGUAAAGGCACAAAGCCUACAAAAACAUUGGCCAUCUUGUUAUCUGAUAUGAGAGAAAUGCAGGCAAUCCAUCAAAACACCCCCCAAAGAGAUUACAUGUCUAAUUUUUCUUCAUCUCAGUCCCAGAGGACAAAUAAUAAAAUUUAAUUAAGUAGCUGUUUCCCCCAAAAAAGUAUUAAAUGAGGCUUUUAAAAUCUUUUAUUUUUACCCAAUGAAACUCAGAUAUCACUUCUGGGAAAAAUUCUUUCUGGGUUCACAAACAUACUGACAGAGAACUAAAAGGAAAGUGUAAAUUGAGCAAUGGCUGUGUUCCAUUUACAAGCAUUUUAAAAGUGAAUGUCAAAUAUAUAGAUGUCUAAAUCAUUUGAUUUUCAAAGAAUGUAAACUUCACCACCACCAGCUACAGCACCCGCAUUCUUAUUGAGAAAUUUAUAUUAGGUAGCUAAUUAUGCACAUAAUAAGACUGUCAAAGAUCAUGUUGACACCUUAUCCCACUUUACCAUUUCAGGCUGAUCCAAACUCAUAAUAUGAAUAGAUGGACAUUGACCAAAGAGACCAGCAGCAGAACAAAAGCAUAAACAAACAUGAGAGUAGGCUAAUUUUACCAACCUGAGGUCAAAAAGUUCUCAUGAGAUCUGGUCGUUUGAAAGCAUGUACCACUUCCCUCUUCGCUCACUCUCUCCCUCCCGCUCCACCAUGUGAAGAUUGUGCCUGCUUCUCCUUCACCUUCUGCCAUGAUUGUAAAUUUCCUGAGGCCUCCCCAGCCAUGCCUCCUGUACAGAGACUGUGGAACUGAGCCCUAGAACCUGAAGAGCAUGUACAUUACUAACGAGAUAUACAAUCCAGCCACCCUGUCCAAACUGGAAUCUGAUUACUAAUGGACUACACUCGA